AAUGGAGUGAAAAAAAAAAGCAUCAAAGGUAAAGAUAAUUUACCCAUCAUACUUAUGUUAUCUCAGGAAAACCAAAAGAUAAUUGAUCACAAAGGAUGCAACAUGAUGUAUCUUAAUGACAUACCAGCAAAUAAAAAAACAAAGCAAGUGAGCAAGUCUGUGAUACUAAAAGCUGCCAUCUUGCUGACACAUGUACAUAUCACUUGGUUUCAUUCAACCGCAUGCAUUUAAGAGUGUCUGAUUAAAUGAAUUUUCAAUAUAACAACAUAUCAAGUUAAAUAUCUAUUAAAAAAAAUUGGAAUAUCUUUAAGAAAUUAUGCAAAGCAGCAAAGAAACUCACUUGAAGAUUGCGAAGCCGGACAGA
RNAcentral lists this unclassified non-coding RNA (364 nucleotides) under Hevea brasiliensis (rubber tree). Lineage: Eukaryota; Viridiplantae; Streptophyta; Magnoliopsida; Malpighiales; Euphorbiaceae. The record is from RNAcentral.